RNAcentral lists this ribosomal RNA (464 nucleotides) under Streptococcus sanguinis. RNAcentral describes it as "bacterial SSU rRNA". It matches the Rfam family "Bacterial small subunit ribosomal RNA", at positions 28 to 474 of the family's 1533-position model. Lineage: Bacteria; Bacillati; Bacillota; Bacilli; Lactobacillales; Streptococcaceae. The record is from RNAcentral.
GACGAACGCUGGCGGCGUGCCUAAUACAUGCAAGUAGAACGCUGAAGAGAAGAGCUUGCUCUUCUUGGAUGAGUUGCGAACGGGUGAGUAACGCGUAGGUAACCUGCCUGGUAGCGGGGGAUAACUAUUGGAAACGAUAGCUAAUACCGCAUGAUAUUAAUUGUCGCAUGAUAAUUAAUUGAAAGAUGCAAUUGCAUCACUACCAGAUGGACCUGCGUUGUAUUAGCUAGUUGGUGAGGUAACGGCUCACCAAGGCGACGAUACAUAGCCGACCUGAGAGGGUGAUCGGCCACACUGGGACUGAGACACGGCCCAGACUCCUACGGGAGGCAGCAGUAGGGAAUCUUCGGCAAUGGGGGGAACCCUGACCGAGCAACGCCGCGUGAGUGAAGAAGGUUUUCGGAUCGUAAAGCUCUGUUGUAAGAGAAGAACGGGUGUGAGAGUGGAAAGUUCACACUGUGACG